CCCUACGGGGCGCAGCAGGCGCGAAAACUUUACAAUGCUGGAAACAGCGAUAAGGGGACCUCGAGUGCCAGGUUACAAAUCUGGCUGUCGUGAUGCCUAAAAAGCAUUGCAUAGCAAGGGCCGGGCAAGACCGGUGCCAGCCGCCGCGGUAACACCGGCGGCUCGAGUGGUAACCGUUAUUAUUGGGUCUAAAGGGUCUGUAGCCGGCCGGAUAAGUCUCUUGGGAAAUCUGGCAGCUUAACUGUCAGGCUUUCAGGAGAUACUGUCUGGCUCGAGGCCGGGAGAGGUGAGAGGUACUUCAGGGGUAGGGGUGAAAUCCUGUAAUC
This 326-nucleotide ribosomal RNA is filed under the name uncultured archaeon. RNAcentral describes it as "bacterial SSU rRNA". It matches the Rfam family "Archaeal small subunit ribosomal RNA", at positions 321 to 647 of the family's 1478-position model. The record is from RNAcentral.